This 73-nucleotide transfer RNA is filed under the name archaeon. Its description in RNAcentral is "tRNA-Cys". It matches the Rfam family "tRNA". From Rfam's summary of the family: Transfer RNA (tRNA) molecules are approximately 80 nucleotides in length. Their secondary structure includes four short double-helical elements and three loops (D, anti-codon, and T loops). RNAcentral also lists the same sequence under 1 other name. The record is from RNAcentral.
GCGGAGGUGGCACAGCGGCUACUGCGGUCGGCUGCAACCCGGCUUUUCGUGGGUUCGAGUCCCACCCUUCGCU